This 337-nucleotide ribosomal RNA is filed under the name uncultured Pseudomonadota bacterium. Its description in RNAcentral is "bacterial SSU rRNA". It matches the Rfam family "Bacterial small subunit ribosomal RNA", at positions 29 to 351 of the family's 1533-position model. Lineage: Bacteria; Pseudomonadati; Pseudomonadota. The record is from RNAcentral.
AGCGAACGUUAGCGGCGGGCUUAACACAUGCAAGUCGUACGCGAAAGGGCUUCGGCCCCGGUAGCGUGGCGUCCGGGUGAGUAACACGUAGGGAAUCUACCCUCGGGUGGGGAGUAACGUUCCGAAAGGGACGCUAAUACCGCAUAAGACCUCGUCGGCUCCGGCCGAUGCGGUCAAAGAUGGCCUCUGUACACAUGCUAUCGCCUGAGGAUGACUCUGCGGCGCAUCAGCUAGUUGGUGGGGUAAUGGCCCACCAAGGCGAAGACGCGUAGCUGGUCUGAGAGGAUGAUCAGCCACACUGGCACUGAAACACGGGCCAGACUCCUACGGGUGGCUG